This 50-nucleotide small nuclear RNA is filed under the name Brugia malayi. RNAcentral's name for it is "RNA transcript Bm16505". Lineage: Eukaryota; Metazoa; Nematoda; Chromadorea; Rhabditida; Onchocercidae. The record is from RNAcentral.
CUGUGGCUGAAAGUAAAAUUUUGGAACGUCCUGCAUAUUUGUGGGACAAU